UUAAGCGACUAAGCGUACACGGUGGAUGCCCUGGCAGUCAGAGGCGAUGAAGGACGUGCUAAUCUGCGAAAAGCGUCGGUAAGGUGAUAUGAACCGUUAUAACCGGCGAUGUCCGAAUGGGGAAACCCAGUGUGAUUCGUCACACUAUCGUUAACUGAAUACAUAGGUUAACGAGGCGAACCGGGGGAACUGAAACAUCUAAGUACCCCGAGGAAAAGAAAUCAACCGAGAUUCCCCCAGUAGCGGCGAGCGAACGGGGAGCAGCCCAGAGUCUGAAUCAGCUUGUGUGUUAGUGGAACGGUCUGGAAAGUCCGACGGUACAGGGUGAUAGUCCCGUACACCAAAAUGCACAGGCUGUGAACUCGAAGAGUAGGGCGGGACACGUGGUAUCCUGUCUGAAUAUGGGGGGACCAUCCUCCAAGGCUAAAUACUCCUGACUGACCGAUAGUGAACCAGUACCGUGAGGGAAAGGCGAAAAGAACCCCGGCGAGGGGAGUGAAAAAGAACCUGAAACCGUGUACGUACAAGCAGUGGGAGCACCUUCGGGUGUGACUGCGUACCUUUUGUAUAAUGGGUCAGCGACUUAUAUUCUGUAGCAAGGUUAACCGUAUAGGGGAGCCGCAGGAAACCGAGUCUUAACUGGGCGUUAAGUUGCAGGGUAUAGACCCGAAACCCGGUGAUUCAGCCAUGGGCAGGUUGAAGGUUGGGUAACACUAACUGGAGGACCGAACCGACUAAUGUUGAAAAAUUAGCGGAUGACUUGUGGCUGGGGUGAAAGGCCAAUCAAACCGGGAGAUAGCUGGUUCUCCCGAAAGCUAUUUAGGUAGCGCCUCGUGAACUCAUCUUCGGGGUAGAGCACUGUUUCGGCUAGGGGUCAUCCCGACUUACCAACCCGAUGCAAACUACGAAUACCGAAGAAUGUUAUCACGGGAGACACACGGCGGGUGCUAACGUCCGUCGUGAAGAGGGAAACAACCCAGACCGCCAGCUAAGGUCCCAAAGUCAUGGUUAAGUGGGAAACGAUGUGGGAAGGCACAGACAGCCAGGAUGUUGGCUUAGAAGCAGCCAUCAUUUAAAGAAAGCGUAAUAGCUCACUGGUCGAGUCGGCCUGCGCGGAAGAUGUAACGGGGCUAAACCAUGCACCGAAGCUGCGGCAGCGACACUAUGUGUUGUUGGGUAGGGGAGCGUUCUGUAAGCCUGCGAAGGUGACCUGUGAGGGUUGCUGGAGGUAUCAGAAGUGCGAAUGCUGACAUAAGUAACGAUAAAGCGGGUGAAAAGCCCGCUCGCCGGAAGACCAAGGGUUCCUGUCCAACGUUAAUCGGGGCAGGGUGAGUCGACCCCUAAGGCGAGGCCGAAAGGCGUAGUCGAUGGGAAACAGGUUAAUAUUCCUGUACUUGGUGUUACUGCGAAGGGGGGACGGAGAAGGCUAUGUUAGCCGGGCGACGGUUGUCCCGGUUUAAGCAUGUAGGCUGGUUAUCCAGGCAAAUCCGGAUAAUCAAGGCUGAGGUGUGAUGACGAGGCACUACGGUGCUGAAGUAACAAAUGCCCUGCUUCCAGGAAAAGCCUCUAAGCAUCAGGUAACAUCAAAUCGUACCCCAAACCGACACAGGUGGUCAGGUAGAGAAUACCAAGGCGCUUGAGAGAACUCGGGUGAAGGAACUAGGCAAAAUGGUGCCGUAACUUCGGGAGAAGGCACGCUGGUGUGUAGGUGAAGCCCCUGCGGGUGGAGCUGAGACCAGUCGAAGAUACCAGCUGGCUGCAACUGUUUAUUAAAAACACAGCACUGUGCAAACACGAAAGUGGACGUAUACGGUGUGACGCCUGCCCGGUGCCGGAAGGUUAAUUGAUGGGGUUAUCCGUAAGGAGAAGCUCUUGAUCGAAGCCCCGGUAAACGGCGGCCGUAACUAUAACGGUCCUAAGGUAGCGAAAUUCCUUGUCGGGUAAGUUCCGACCUGCACGAAUGGCGUAAUGAUGGCCAGGCUGUCUCCACCCGAGACUCAGUGAAAUUGAACUCGCUGUGAAGAUGCAGUGUACCCGCGGCAAGACGGAAAGACCCCGUGAACCUUUACUAUAGCUUGACACUGAACAUUGAGCCUUGAUGUGUAGGAUAGGUGGGAGGCUUUGAAGCGUGGACGCCAGUCUGCGUGGAGCCAACCGAAAUACCACCCUUUAAUGUUUGAUGUUCUAACGUUGGCCCCUUACCGGGGUUGCGGACAGUGUCUGGUGGGUAGUUUGACUGGGGCGGUCUCCUCCCAAAGCGUAACGGAGGAGCACGAAGGUUAGCUAAUCGGUCGGACAUCAGGAGGUUAGUGCAAUGGCAUAAGCUAGCUUGACUGCGAGCGUGACGGCGCGAGCAGGUGCGAAAGCAGGUCAUAGUGAUCCGGUGGUUCUGAAUGGAAGGGCCAUCGCUCAACGGAUAAAAGGUACUCCGGGGAUAACAGGCUGAUACCGCCCAAGAGUUCAUAUCGACGGCGGUGUUUGGCACCUCGAUGUCGGCUCAUCACAUCCUGGGGCUGAAGUAGGUCCCAAGGGUAUGGCUGUUCGCCAUUUAAAGUGGUACGCGAGCUGGGUUUAGAACGUCGUGAGACAGUUCGGUCCCUAUCUGCCGUGGGCGCUGGAGAAUUGAGGGGGGCUGCUCCUAGUACGAGAGGACCGGAGUGGACGCAUCACUGGUGUUCGGGUUGUCAUGCCAAUGGCACUGCCCGGUAGCUAAAUGCGGAAGAGAUAAGUGCUGAAAGCAUCUAAGCACGAAACUUGCCCCGAGAUGAGUUCUCCCUGAGACUUUAAGUCUCCUGAAGGAACGUUGAAGACGACGACGUUGAUAGGCCGGGUGUGUAAGCGCAGCGAUGCGUUGAGCUAACCGGUACUAAUGAACCGUGAGGCUUAACCU
Molecule: ribosomal RNA, 2890 nt
Filed under: Klebsiella pneumoniae
Lineage: Bacteria; Pseudomonadati; Pseudomonadota; Gammaproteobacteria; Enterobacterales; Enterobacteriaceae
Description: bacterial LSU rRNA
Rfam family: Bacterial large subunit ribosomal RNA
Source: RNAcentral